ACCCCCACCAACUAGCCCAAAACAAAAUACAACAAACAACAUUAAUUAACCCAAAAACCAAAUAUACACAACAAAUCAAAUCAUUUUACCCCCUUAGUAUGGG
Molecule: ribosomal RNA, 103 nt
Filed under: Redigobius bikolanus (speckled goby)
Lineage: Eukaryota; Metazoa; Chordata; Actinopteri; Gobiiformes; Gobiidae
Description: partial 16S rRNA
Source: RNAcentral